Molecule: small nucleolar RNA, 124 nt
Organism: Ochotona princeps (American pika)
Lineage: Eukaryota; Metazoa; Chordata; Mammalia; Lagomorpha; Ochotonidae
Source: Ensembl
AAGCAACACUCUGUGGCAGACUGUCAAUCAUCUGACACAAUUUGCGCUUGCUAUAGCAAGGAAGUCUAACCUAUUCCGGUGUGCACUCUGCUGUGAGGCCGACUGUUAUUCAGCCUUAAACAGU